UGCCUCCCAUUUGUUUUGUAUGAUGGAGCCUCCAAAUCGAUGAUCGGCACCGUUGAAUAUGAUUUAUAUCAAAUGAAAUGUUUAGAAAUCAAAUUUCAUACAUUUCCGAUAUUAUUCUCUUAUCCAUCGUGUGGACACAAAAAUGAACAGCUAAAAUGAAUAUUCUUUAAAAAAUGAUGAUAGGAGUCUUGUAAUCAAGAUCAAAAGCAUAGAUCUUAUUUUAUAUAGUUUAAAAAAUUUUCUAAUAAAAAUUCAAUUGGCUUGGAUAUCUUUACGCCGUUAAACGAGAAAAUGCCUCGUAUCGACUAUUAAAAUUACAAAUUUUGAACCUUUUGAUCAUUAUGCAAAUGAUGCCGAAAAGAUUUGAAAUUUGAUUUUUAAAUACUUCAAUUGGUACAAAUCAUGUUCAAUGGUACCGAUCGUCGAAUUGGAGGCUCUAUCAUCGAAAAUAAAUUGGUGGCAACGGAGACUGUUUGCUAUCGAAAACAAAUUGGUGGCAACUAAAUUUUUUUAAAAUGACAUAUUGAAAGGGUUUCGGGAGUUAGAGGGGCAAAAUUGUCAUUUUACAUAAUAUGUAGUAUUAACGGUUUUCAAUAAUGCAAGAUACACGACCCUCCUCUCGUUAAUAUUUUCGGUGUAAUCCUGCUCAAUUUGUAAUACUACAUUAACGACUAGAUUACAUAGCGGAUGAAUCAAAUAUAGUAAUCCUGACAGGAUUGUCUGUAAUCCUGCCAAGAUAACUCGAACCAAACGCACCCUAAGAGGAUAGUAGCACUUGUCCUAUCAAGUUGUUCUUGAGGAUAGAGAUUCAGAAUCGAUGAUUGGAGCCGUUGAAGUUGAUCUAGAGUAUUUGAAAUAUCUAGAAACUAAAUUUCAUAAAUUUUAAAAUUAUUUACAUGGUGAUCAAAGUGUCGUAAAAUCGACAAUUUUUGACGGCCUAUAUGAGCCGUUUGUUUGUUUAACGGUGUAGAGCAAUCCAAAUUGCUUGAAUUUUUUAUAGAAAAUUUUUUAUACUAUUUAGAUAAUGUUUGAUAAUUCUUAUUAUGAAUUGAGAAAGUCUAACAUCUAUUUUAAGAAGGUUAUUCAUUUAUGACCAUUCAUUUUUCAAACUCUUUGAUGAACUUGAUAAUGAUUUUUAAAUAUUACAAAAUUUGGUUUCUAAACAUUUCUAAU
Molecule: long non-coding RNA, 1173 nt
Filed under: Ananas comosus (pineapple)
Lineage: Eukaryota; Viridiplantae; Streptophyta; Magnoliopsida; Poales; Bromeliaceae
Description: long non-coding RNA (ACOM_LNC020308)
Source: RNAcentral